GAUGUGUGUGUGUGAUAGACAACACAUAGUGUGAGAGAGAGAUCAAACAAAGACAUGUUUCACAAGGUAUUAAUGUUAUAUAAGAAAAGACAUGUUUCAUAAGACAAAAAUCCUCAAUAAAUGACUGUUUUGUUCAGAAACAGUGAGAAUGGAAAAAGGCAACACAAAAGGUAACCGCAGGGUGUGGUAGGGAUGGUAGUAAACGCAAGGUGUGGUAGGGAUGGUAGUAAACGCAAGGUGUGGUAGGGAUGGUAGUAAACGCAAGGUGUGGUAGGGAUGGUAGUAAACGCAAGGUGUGGUAGGGAUGGUAACAGAAGGGUGUGGUAGGGAUGGUAAUCACAAGGUGUGGUAGGGAUGGUAACCACAAGGUGUGGUAGGGAUGGUAACCACAAG
This 393-nucleotide long non-coding RNA is filed under the name Salmo salar (Atlantic salmon). Its description in RNAcentral is "lncRNA (ENSSSAG00000099707.1)". The record is from RNAcentral. Lineage: Eukaryota; Metazoa; Chordata; Actinopteri; Salmoniformes; Salmonidae.